This 1942-nucleotide long non-coding RNA is filed under the name Haliotis rufescens (red abalone). Its description in RNAcentral is "uncharacterized LOC125378631". Lineage: Eukaryota; Metazoa; Mollusca; Gastropoda; Lepetellida; Haliotidae. The record is from RNAcentral.
CCGAUCAAGAAUCAGCUGUUUUAUAUCAAUCCGCGUGUGAAAAAACACUGUCCACUCAUUCCAACCGCAUUACUCAAUUAACGUGUUGUUACGCGUGAAAAAUAUAGUUCUGUUAAAAAAUUGUAAAGAUCACAUUAUUGCAGUUAUAUUUCUGUCCGAUUUACACAGCGUACACUAUCUAGCAUUGAUAAAGAAGACAGGUUUCCAAAAAAGUUCAUCAGGGUUUUUAAUCAAAGCUUUUUUCGACAAGAUCUCGUCACUGACAGACAGCCCCCGUCGUGCAUCGGCAGAUACAUGCACUUCACAUUGAGAAGAGGAAACACGGAAAACCUGUCAAUUUUUUCAUGUGUUAUUCGAUAAAAAUGCCAAAAACUGUAUCAACAACAUAGAAGGAAUGUACAGAAGUCAUGUUUGAUUGAGAAAAGUUACGAAAAGUAGGUAAACUUUGAAAAAUACGAUUGCUGUCAGUGUCGGAAAGAAUGACCCGACUUGACCCAGAUUUGAGACAGCUGAAACCAAGUUGCAAGUUUAUUCCGGACAAGAAAUUCUGUAGACUACUCAGAGUCAGAAUCAAUGAGUAUUCUUCUCUUCGGGGCCGGUAGAUGACUGUCGACAGUGGAGUGACCCGAGUCGUUGGAAGAAAUGGUGAAAUUAAAAACCCCUCCAUAUAUGGGCCCCGAGAACAGGGUGUGCACCGUGUGCAGGGAAUGGACGUCAUGUGUGAUUUGUGACAAGUGUGACUGAUGGGAAACAUGACACUGUGCAGAUUGAUGGGGAACUAGUGCAUCUGGGAUUCUGGGUGGAUUUGACAAACACGCUUGUGGAGUGGAUAUAGAAGAUGACAGGAUUUUGUUGAUAUCUUGAUGUUGUGAUUCAUUAUUGUCGAAUAACUGUUGAUGGACUGGACGUUCUUGUGGCCAGAAACUUGCAUAAUUUGAUGCGCUGGGACACCAUUGUCGGAUAAAGUUUGGAUCAUUCGUUUUCUAGCGCUGUGGUUCCUCAACCUUUUGUCUGACGACGGUCCAGCCCUGGAUGCCAUGGUCUUCAUGAGAGAGCCUAACUUGUUUCUACCAACAGGUUGGCGUUUUAACCAGGUGUUUUCGGAUUUUACGCCGAACUGUGUGUUUGGUGCAAGAUAAAAUGGACUCGCAUCAUUGCUAAAGUCUCGCGGGCGAACAUCCCGAUACAACUUGUAUACUGCCACCGGACAACAUUCAUCCCCAGGUUGAGCCCACGCUUUGGGUGCCAAGUCACGGGAUUGAUCACCCUGUCAUGUUUUUGACUGGCGUUCCAAUUACUCUAAAUAUUCCUUAUUAUCGGAAUCAGUCUUGAGUGUGACGUCGCCCCACUGCAUGCUUCUGUGGGGCGUGGCCGACCGCAGUCCAAAGAAGACUGUAUUGUUCCACCACAAUGUUUUUAACACAGCAUCUGGAGACUUAGUGCCAAGCUGUCCGGAUUCACGGAGUUUAUUCAGUUCCAUGUCGGACACAGGAUCAGCUCGCUGGGUUAAGAACUGUUCCAUGUCAUCAUCGUUCACAAAGGCAAACCUGUCUGCAUUCAGUCCGGUGUUUGGAUUCGGGGGGUCGAAAAAGUCGUCAAACAGCAAGUCCUCUAGCACAGACGCUGGCAACCCCGGACUUGGUGGUGUUGUGUUUUGCGCACUAGAAAUAGUCUCUGGCAAAACUCGCAAUCUGAAUCUUGGAACUUCUAUCUGGCCAUAUGCAGUUUUGACAACAAAUACAUUAAAUGUGUUCAGAGGUUGAAUUAUGCGAAUAACUCUUCCUGUCAGAUCUCCGUCCACUUUAACGGGGUCAUUUACUUUGACAGGUGUCAAAUGGUCAGCCAUGUUUGUUUACAAACAACGCAGACGUAUUUUUCUUUUUUGUAAUUACGCUUAUUGUAAACUAAAACUCGUGCGAAAUAAAUGCUUUAUUCAUUAAAA